AUCCAGCUGACGAGUCCCAAAUAGGACGAAGUGUCGCGCUUCCUGGAU
Molecule: non-coding RNA, 48 nt
Organism: Schistosoma mansoni
Lineage: Eukaryota; Metazoa; Platyhelminthes; Trematoda; Strigeidida; Schistosomatidae
Source: Rfam